This 244-nucleotide long non-coding RNA is filed under the name Gossypium raimondii (Peruvian cotton). RNAcentral describes it as "long non-coding RNA (GRAI_LNC004076)". Lineage: Eukaryota; Viridiplantae; Streptophyta; Magnoliopsida; Malvales; Malvaceae. The record is from RNAcentral.
GGGGAAAACCGAAUAGGUGAGGAGGAAAAAGAAAUGGAAAGGUGGGGGAGGAUAGUUGUGGAAUUUGGCCACAAGGAGAGAGGAAGGUUCAACCAAAAGGGAAGAAAGAAUCGGGUUGGGAAGGAAGGAUGAGAGAAGAAGCACAACCAAAUGAAGAGGAGAGGAGAUUUCGACAGCAGAAGAAAAGAAGAGUGGGGAGAGUUUUGGCCAAAUUAAAAAAAAAGAAAAAGAUAAGAUGAGCAGA